AGUGAACGCUGGCGGUAGGCCUAACACAUGCAAGUCGAACGGCAGCACAGUAAGAGCUUGCUCUUACGGGUGGCGAGUGGCGGACGUGUGAGGAAUACAUCGGAAUCUACUUUUUCGUGGGGGAUAACGUAGGGAAACUUACGCUAGUACCGCAUACGACCUACGGGUGAAAGCAGGGGAUCUUCGGACCUUGCGCGAUUGAAUGAGCCGAUGUCGGAUUAGCUAGUUGGCGGGGUAAAGGCCCACCAAGGCGACGAUCCGUAGCUGGUCUGAGAGGAUGAUCAGCCACACUGGAACUGAGACACGGUCCAGACUCCUACGGGAGGCAGCAGUGGGGAAUAUUGGACAAUGGGCGCAAGCCUGAUCCAGCCAUACCGCGUGGGUGAAGAAGGCCUUCGGGUUGUAAAGCCCUUUUGUUGGGAAAGAAAAGCAGCAGGUUAAUACCCCGCUGUUCUGACGGUACCCAAAGAAUAAGCACCGGCUAACUUCGUG
This 492-nucleotide ribosomal RNA is filed under the name uncultured bacterium. RNAcentral describes it as "partial 16S ribosomal RNA". It matches the Rfam family "Bacterial small subunit ribosomal RNA", at positions 29 to 507 of the family's 1533-position model. The record is from RNAcentral.